Oreochromis aureus is the source of this 959-nucleotide long non-coding RNA. NCBI's taxonomy places the organism in Eukaryota, Metazoa, Chordata, Actinopteri, Cichliformes, Cichlidae. The record is from Ensembl.
CUAAGCAGCUUGCAGCUGCCAAGACUUUGGAAAUAAUUAUUGAUGUUGAUGCUGAUACUGACAUCGAUAUAAUCACUCCUGAAAGUUCAUACUCUGAUGCUGCUGACCCAGAUGUGCCAUCACUCAAACGAACUGACAGCAUAUUUCUUACCAGUGAAUACCUGCAGUCAAUCUCCAAGGUGGCUGACACACCAGAAGCUUCUGGAAGUUGUAUUGAAAGCACUGAUGAUGAAUAUAUUCCAUCAAAAGACUCAGGGAAUGAAAGUAGUUCAGAGGGAUUUGACAGUCCUGCAAAAAGGGUCCCAUUGUUGAAAAUUAAGAAAACAAAGAAGUCACAAAAGACUUCCAGAAGAAAAACACUUCCAAGUACAUCUUCGGGUAAGGACCAUGAGACAGUAGAAAGUGAAAGCUCUCAACCUAACCAGGGAAAUAUUUUUGUGAUGAAGCUGCAAAAAAAGAAAGAUGGGGCUAGAGUAUACAGUAAAAAGCAUCACUGCUUAUACUGUCCACAGGAGUGCCAUAAAAUGGCAAGGCACUUAAUACGCAAGCACAGCAGUGAACUGGCUGUAGCAGAAGCAAUCAGUUUUCCUUUGAAAUCAAAGGAGCGCAAACUACAUUUUGACCUCAUUAGAAACAAGGGGAACCGUGCACAUAAUAUUGAGGUUCUGAAAGCUGGCUCUGGGACACUAAUCCCAAGUCAGCAAACUAAAAAACCAGUGAAGCCAAAUGACUACAUGCACUGCGUUAACUGCCAGGCACUGCUGAAAAGACAUUCAUUAUGGAGACAUAUUUCAAGAUGCAAGCUUUCACAGAAGUGCAGCACAGCAAAACCAGGCAAAAGUCGGAUCCAGUCACUUUGUGCCUUUGCACAGCCUGUCCCAGAUGGUGUCAGCAGAAAGGUUUGGGAACUGGUCAGUGUUAUGCAUCAGGAUGAAGUCAGAAACAUCAUCAGAGAGGAG